CCUACGGGAGGCAGCAGUGAGGAAUAUUGGUCAAUGGGCGCGAGGCUGAACCAGCCAAGUCGCGUGAGGGAAGACGGCCCUACGGGUUGUAAACCUCUUUUGUCGGGGAGCAAAGCGAACCACGUGUGGCUUAUUGAGAGUACCCGAAGAAAAAGCAUCGGCUAACUCCGUGCCAGCAGCCGCGGUAAUACGGAGGAUGCGAGCGUUAUCCGGAUUUAUUGGGUUUAAAGGGUGCGCAGGCGGAGGUGCAAGUCAGCGGUGAAAUUGCGGGGCUCAACCCCGUACUGCCGUUGAAACUGCAUCCCUUGAGUGCGAGAGAAGUAUGCGGAAUGCGUGGUGUAGCGGUGAAAUGCAUAGAUAUCACGCAGAACUCCGAUUGCGAAGGCAGCAUACCGGCGCGCAACUGACGCUCAUGCACGAAAGCGUGGGUAUCGAACAGGAUUAGAUACCCUAGUAGUC
This 459-nucleotide ribosomal RNA is filed under the name uncultured bacterium. RNAcentral's name for it is "partial 16S ribosomal RNA". It matches the Rfam family "Bacterial small subunit ribosomal RNA", at positions 338 to 795 of the family's 1533-position model. The record is from RNAcentral.